This 497-nucleotide ribosomal RNA is filed under the name uncultured bacterium. RNAcentral describes it as "partial 16S ribosomal RNA". It matches the Rfam family "Bacterial small subunit ribosomal RNA", at positions 28 to 507 of the family's 1533-position model. The record is from RNAcentral.
GAUGAACGCUGGCGGCGUGCCUAAUACAUGCAAGUCGAGCGAACGGACGAGAAGCUUGCUUCUCUGAUGUUAGCGGCGGACGGGUGAGUAACACGUGGAUAACCUACCUAUAAGACUGGUAUAACUUCGGGAAACCGGAGCUAAUACCGGAUAAUAUUUUGAACCGCAUGGUUCAAAAGUGAAAGACGGUCUUGCUGUCACUUAUAGAUGGAUCCGCGCUGCAUUAGCUAGUUGGUAAGGUAACGGCUUACCAAGGCAACGAUGCAUAGCCGACCUGAGAGGGUGAUCGGCCACACUGGAACUGAGACACGGUCCAGACUCCUACGGGAGGCAGCAGUAGGGAAUCUUCCGCAAUGGGCGAAAGCCUGACGGAGCAACGACGCGUGAGUGAUGAAGGUCUUCGGAUCGUAAAACUCUGUUAUUAGGGAAGAACAUAUGUGUAAGUAACUGUGCACAUCUUGACGGUACCUAAUCAGAAAGCCACGGCUAACUACGUG